Molecule: ribosomal RNA, 473 nt
Filed under: uncultured bacterium
Lineage: Bacteria
Description: bacterial SSU rRNA
Rfam family: Bacterial small subunit ribosomal RNA
Source: RNAcentral
UGGGGAAUUGUUCACAAUGGGCGCAAGCCUGAUGACGCAACGCCGCGUGGGGGAUGAAGGUCUUCGGAUCGUAAACCCCUGUCGAAUGGGACGAAAGACUCGCGAGUGAAUACUUCGCGAGAGUGACGGUACCGUUAAAGGAAGCCACGGCUAACUCUGUGCCAGCAGCCGCGGUAACACGAACCGGACAAACGUUAUUCGGAAUUACUGGGCUUAAAGGGUGCGUAGGCGGUGCGGUAAGUGCGGUGUGAAAUCCCACGGCUCAACCGUGGAAUUGCGCUGCAUACUGCCGUGCUAGAGGGAGACAGGGGUAAGCGGAACUGAUGGUGGAGCGGUGAAAUGCGUUGAUAUCAUCAGGAACACCGGUGGCGAAAGCGGCUUACUGGGUCUCUUCUGACGCUGAGGCACGAAAGCUAGGGUAGCGAACGGGAUUAGAUACCCUGGUAGUCCCUGAGCGGGCUGGCAAGGCGCAU